RNAcentral lists this ribosomal RNA (253 nucleotides) under uncultured bacterium. RNAcentral describes it as "partial 16S ribosomal RNA". It matches the Rfam family "Bacterial small subunit ribosomal RNA", at positions 524 to 776 of the family's 1533-position model. The record is from RNAcentral.
UACGGAGGUUGCGAGCGUUGUUCGGAAUAACUGGGCGUAAAGGGAGCGCAGGCGGUUGGGCAAGUCCAAAGUGAAAGCCCGGGGCUCAACUCCGGAAGUGCUUUGGAUACUGCCUUACUCGAGUUCGUGAGAGGAAAGCGGAAUUCCAGGUGUAGCGGUGAAAUGCGUAGAUAUCUGGAGGAACACCGGUGGCGAAAGCGGCUUUCUGGCACGAUACUGACGCUGAGGCUCGAAAGCGUGGGGAGCAAACAGG